This 85-nucleotide transfer RNA is filed under the name Cytophagales bacterium. RNAcentral's name for it is "tRNA-Leu". It matches the Rfam family "tRNA". From Rfam's summary of the family: Transfer RNA (tRNA) molecules are approximately 80 nucleotides in length. Lineage: Bacteria; Pseudomonadati; Bacteroidota; Cytophagia; Cytophagales. The record is from RNAcentral.
GCCGGGGUGGUGAAAUGGUAGACACGCAGGACUUAAAAUCCUGUGACCGGCUUUGGUCGUGCGGGUUCGAGUCCCGCUCCCGGUA